RNAcentral lists this ribosomal RNA (403 nucleotides) under uncultured bacterium. RNAcentral describes it as "partial 16S ribosomal RNA". It matches the Rfam family "Bacterial small subunit ribosomal RNA", at positions 28 to 526 of the family's 1533-position model. The record is from RNAcentral.
GACGAACGCUGGCGGCGUGCCUAAUACAUGCAAGUCGAACGCAGUGGGGACGGGUGAGUAACACGUGGGUAACCUCCCAUCAGAGGGGAUAACACUAGGAAACAGGUGCUAAACCGAUACUGAUGGAUGGACCCGCGGUGCAUAAGCUAGUUGGUGAGGUAACGGCUCACCAAGGCACCGAUGCAUAGCCGACCUGAGGUGGUGAUCAGCCACGCUGGGACUGAGACACGGUCCAGACUCCUACGUGAGGCCGCAGUGUGGAAUAUUGCACCAUGGGCGCGAGCCUGAUGCAGCCAUGCCGCGUGUAUGAAGAAGGCCUUCGGGUUGUAAAGUACUUUCAGCGGGGAGGCGUUACCCGCAGAAGAUGCCCCGGCUAACUCCGUGCCAGCAGCCGCGGUAAUAC